GAUGAACGCUGGCGGCGUGCUUAACACAUGCAAGUCGAACGGGAAUUAUUUUAUUGACACUUCGGUCGAUUUAAUUUAAUUCUAGUGGCGGACGGGUGAGUAACGCGUGGGUAACCUGCCUUAUACAGGGGGAUAACAGUCAGAAAUGGCUGCUAAUACCGCAUAAGCGCACAGAGCUGCAUGGCUCAGUGUGAAAAACUCCGGUGGUAUAAGAUGGACGCGCGUUGGAUUAGCUGGUUGGGGGGGUAACGGCUCACCAAGGCGACGAUCCAUAGCCGGCCUGAGAGGGUGAACGGCCACAUUGGGACUGAGACACGGCCCAGACUCCUACGGGAAGCAGCAGUGGGGAAUAUUGCACAAUGGGGGAAACCCUGAUGCAGCGACGCCGCGUGAAGGAAGAAGUAUCUCGGUAUGUAAACUUCUAUCAGCAGGGAAGAUAGUGACGGUACCUGACUAAGAAGCCCCGGCUAACUACGUG
RNAcentral lists this ribosomal RNA (478 nucleotides) under uncultured bacterium. Its description in RNAcentral is "partial 16S ribosomal RNA". It matches the Rfam family "Bacterial small subunit ribosomal RNA", at positions 28 to 507 of the family's 1533-position model. The record is from RNAcentral.